RNAcentral lists this ribosomal RNA (253 nucleotides) under uncultured bacterium. Its description in RNAcentral is "partial 16S ribosomal RNA". It matches the Rfam family "Bacterial small subunit ribosomal RNA", at positions 524 to 776 of the family's 1533-position model. The record is from RNAcentral.
UACGUAGGGGGCUAGCGUUGUCCGGAAUCAUUGGGCGUAAGGCGCGUGUAGGCGGUCCGGUAAGUCCGCUGUGAAAGUCGGGGGCUCAACCCUCGGAUGCCGGUGGAUACUGUCGGGCUUGAGUACGGAAGAGGCGAGUGGAAUUCCUGGUGUAGCGGUGAAAUGCGCAGAUAUCAGGAGGAACACCUAUUGCGAAGGCAGCUCGCUGGGACGUUACUGACGCUGAGACGCGAAAGCGUGGGGAGCAAACAGG